UCCUCGUCUAUGGCACUAUAGAAUUCACUGUGUGUUGUGUUGCCAUGGUAACAGCUGGUUCUACAGUGCCAUUGCAUGAUGG
RNAcentral lists this microRNA precursor (82 nucleotides) under Strongylocentrotus purpuratus (purple sea urchin). RNAcentral's name for it is "microRNA spu-mir-183 precursor". Its record names the gene spu-mir-183. The record is from miRBase by way of RNAcentral. Lineage: Eukaryota; Metazoa; Echinodermata; Echinoidea; Camarodonta; Strongylocentrotidae.